AAGCCACAAUGGAAAAAUGAUUGCGGUAAAAAAAGAAUAUUAAAAGUCUCCGAAUUUGCAGAUGAAACUCUAUGCUCUAUAGCAUAUCAGUUUCUUGAAAGCAAGAAUUCUCUCAGUUUUAGGUAAGAGAAUGAAUGCAAUAGCAAGAGAUUAGUAGAUAUCUUUCUUUCGUUAUUACAAAUGCACCAACUAGCCCCUUGAAUCUUCAAGUUGCAGAGUUUCAAGGAAUCGACGAGAUAAAGGUAUUAUAAGGUGCGAUAUUAAACAAAAAUUUUGGAGGCAAAUCUCUUAAUUCCUGUGCUGUUUAUUUGAGCUUUGUAAUCUUGCGCAGAGAAUAUGUUUUGCCUUAAAAGAAAAAGGAACUUUAUUCUUUUUCAAAUGUUUUCGGAAUCGGAUUUGGUCUUUCUGUGUUCAAAAGUUUUGAGAGGCAAAGCGAAAAUGAUGAUUUCUUUUGAAUCUGAAUUUAGGUGUGGAAUCGCAUCUCGUCGUAUUGGUCUUCAAAGUUCUCUGAUUGCUUUGCUUUGUUGAUUGCAUUUGCUUAGAUCUGAAUUUUUCAAUUGGGUUUUUAAGAAUUUCUAGUGUAUGGUAGUUAGCUUUAUGAUUGUUCUAAAAUGGGUGCCUUUUUUUUUUUUUUGGUUUAAGCAAAAUUAGCUGUUAUAUUAAAGAAUAGGCUUUUGCUGUAUUACAAAUGGUUAGGCUUAUGUGAGAGGCACUAUCAAUAUGGUAUUAUGUGGUUAGGCUUAUGUGAGAGGCAAAGAAAAAUGAUGAGAUUCUUAAUGGCCGAAUUUCAUGUGGAAUAUGGUCUUCAAAGUUCUCUGAUUAAAUUGCCUCUCGUUUCAAUGUUCCCUAAAAAUUGGUUUUCAAAGUUGUCAUUUUGUACUGCUGUACAGUUUUCUUUUUUUUCAUCAGGCCCGUCUAGUAGUUGUAAAGGAGCCUAAAUUGGGUAUUGUUUAUCUCAUAAAUUUAUCAUGACUGUUAUUUGCCUUCUGUUUUGUAAUUCUCAUUCAAACGAGGCUCGAAAUUUGCUUUUUUGAUAGAUGAUUUGUGGUGAUUGUGCUCUUCAUUGAGUAUUCCCGGUGGCUACAUAAUGCUUAACAUUUUUUGAAGUCUAUCUAUGAAUGCGGGUAGCCUGGCCCUUUGAGUGAUUUUAACAGUAUUUGCUUUUGGUUUCCUUCUUUAUUCUGGCUAUGUUCUAGAGGGCGGCAUUGGCAAGGUGGAGGUGAUUCUUAAGGUUGGUUGCCGGAGGGAUAUUUAGAAUGCUUCUUUUUAUCGAAGGUUAUCUUGCUAACGUAGGGAUGUUGGAGUAAAUGUAGGCACCAAAAUUCUUAGUCUGUUAUGUGUAUAAUUCAGGCUAUACGAGCAUGGUGCAAUAUCAAUAUCUUUCUUAGUCUUGUUCGCUAGUCUUUUUCAUGACGAAUUGAGCAAGAACUUAAAAGAACAGAUGUGCCUUCAUAUUAAUGUGCAUUCCAUAUUCUAGCAUUUCUUACUUUGCAUUUUCUUUUUCUCUUUUGAUUUCCAUCAAUAUAUAUGCCUUCAAAUUUAUUAUUGUUUAUCGUUUUGAAGUGGCAGGUAUAUACUCUGUAGUAAGGAGCUGGUCCUAUAUCUGUCCUUAAUAGUUGGAUAUAACAGUUCUGGGGGCUUGUAGUUUCUGUAUGUUAAAAUGAAUGUUGUUAUAACGCAUGCUUACUUAUUGCUACAAUUUUUGGCAUAUGGAGCUAACCAGAAUUAUGCUUUAUGUAUCCUAUGCUUCUAAGCUUCUGUAUUUUAAUCAAAUUGUGACAAAAGCCUUCACCCACAUAUGAG
This 1803-nucleotide unclassified non-coding RNA is filed under the name Hevea brasiliensis (rubber tree). The stretch from base 432 to 516 matches the Rfam family "Small nucleolar RNA R160". Lineage: Eukaryota; Viridiplantae; Streptophyta; Magnoliopsida; Malpighiales; Euphorbiaceae. The record is from RNAcentral.